UUCCUUAACGAGUUUCAUUCACCUUCCUUUUCAUUUCUUUCUCUUCUUCCUCUCUCUGUCUCCGAGAAGAAAAACCUCAUCAAGCAUUAAGAAAUCAAAUCCAAUCAAACAAUAAGAAAUCAAACCCAAUCAAGAUAUCAACCUUACCUCAAACCCUCUGCCGAUUUCUGAUUUAAACCUCAAUCUCAGUUGUACGUUUUCAAAAAUGGUGAGGACCGAGUUGUCUGCGAAGGCAAAGAAUAAAGUAAGUGCAUGCUUAAUGAAGUAGGAACUGUAAAUAAGCAAGAUGAAAAAUUAGAGUCUCUUCAUUUGCAGAGAGACACUUAAAUGGCGAACAGUGGAAUGAUGGACUAUUAUCUACAGUUAGGAAGCGGGUUCACAUGGAGUUAGAAAGAAAAGCAAUGCAGGGGGAUGCUAGCAUGGCAUUGAAUUCUCACUUCCAUGGGAAAAUUACUUAUAGAGCAGGAAAUAAGUGUUUACGUUGGGAUGAGCUAGAAGGGGAUUAUCACAAAGUCUUGGCGAGGUGAUCCCUUGCACUAUUCUCUGCCAGGAACAGGGCAAAUUAGUUCUCAAUAGGAAUCUGCAACAAAUGUCCAGAAUAUAGUUUUCCAAGGGAGGAACAAUUCCCAAAUCCUUAACAUAACGGAAGGAUUUAAGUAAUAGGAGCAGUGCAUAAGCCGAAAUGACUCAAAUCAGUUGGAAAUUGUCCGUUAAUUUAGUCUCCAUUUAGUGUUGCCUUCAUCAUCCUCAAAGAUAUCAACCUUCACAUCACUCAGCACUGGUGGUGGGAGUGUAAACAAUGGUGGAAGCUUCUUUCCAUUACUUUGGAUGGGUGGUAAUAUCAAUGAACAAAGUACCAUGCUUAGUUCAGCUUGGGAUUAACCCACUGGAUUAGGGUCUUCGCGUGAGGGUUUUGGACUGCAUAUCAAGAAGGCCCUUAGAGGUGUGAAGGUUGAAGUAACUCAUGGAGGAAGUAUGAGCAGACUUAUGGGUUU
Molecule: long non-coding RNA, 995 nt
Organism: Papaver somniferum (opium poppy)
Lineage: Eukaryota; Viridiplantae; Streptophyta; Magnoliopsida; Ranunculales; Papaveraceae
Exons: 6
Source: RefSeq, a predicted model, not a curated record